Molecule: ribosomal RNA, 253 nt
Filed under: uncultured bacterium
Lineage: Bacteria
Description: partial 16S ribosomal RNA
Rfam family: Bacterial small subunit ribosomal RNA
Source: RNAcentral
UACGUAGGGUGCAAGCGUUGUCCGGAAUUAUUGGGCGUAAAGAGCUCGUAGGCGGUUUGUCGCGUCUGCUGUGAAAACUGGAGGCUCAACCUCCAGCCUGCAGUGGGUACGGGCAGACUAGAGUGCGGUAGGGGAGAUUGGAACUCCUGGUGUAGCGGUGGAAUGCGCAGAUAUCAGGAAGAACACCGAUGGCGAAGGCAGAUCUCUGGGCCGUAACUGACGCUGAGGAGCGAAAGCGUGGGGAGCGAACAGG